This 550-nucleotide ribosomal RNA is filed under the name uncultured bacterium. Its description in RNAcentral is "bacterial SSU rRNA". It matches the Rfam family "Bacterial small subunit ribosomal RNA", at positions 355 to 896 of the family's 1533-position model. The record is from RNAcentral.
UGGGGAAUCUUCCGCAAUGGGCGAAAGCCUGACGGAGCAACGCCGCGUGAGUGAUGAAGGCCUUCGGGCUGUAAAACUCUGUUGUCAGGGACGAAGGUGCACCUUUCCAACAGAUGGGUGUAUUGACGGUACCUGACGAGGAAGCCACGGCUAACUACGUGCCAGCAGCCGCGGUAAUACGUAGGUGGCAAGCGUUGUCCGGAAUUAUUGGGCGUAAAGAGCAUGUAGGCGGGCCUUUAAGUCCGACGUGAAAAUGCGGGGCUCAACCCCGUAUGGCGUUGGAUACUGGAGGUCUUGAGUGCAGGAGAGGAAAGGGGAAUUCCCAGUGUAGCGGUGAAAUGCGUAGAUAUUGGGAGGAACACCAGUGGCGAAGGCGCCUUUCUGGACUGUGUCUGACGCUCAGAUGCGAAAGCUAGGGUAGCAAACGGGAUUAGAUACCCCGGUAGUCCUAGCCGUAAACGAUGGGUACUAGGUGUGGGAGGUAUCGACCCCUUCCGUGCCGGAGUUAACGCAAUAAGUACCCCGCCUGGGGACUACGAUCGCAAGAUUG